This 678-nucleotide ribosomal RNA is filed under the name Triticum aestivum (bread wheat). Its description in RNAcentral is "partial small subunit ribosomal RNA". The record is from RNAcentral. Lineage: Eukaryota; Viridiplantae; Streptophyta; Magnoliopsida; Poales; Poaceae.
AUGAGGCUUGCGGUGUCCCUCCCUGCCAGAUCCACAUCCGUUGCUCCAGAAUGUUGCAGCCUAAGCUCGACCACAUAUCCCGGGGAGCCCGACGAGCGUUCGGCUAAGAAGAGGUUUAUCAUGGCCUCUCCGAUGGAUGUUGGCGAGGUGGCCGCCGUUCGCCCUGACCUGUCGAUCCCGGAGCAACACGUCGCUGCGGAAGCCGGUGAAGACAUUGAAUAUGUUGCCAUGCCGAUGGCUUCAUGUCAGCGGGCUAGCGUAUUACUGUAUCUCGGGAAACCUGGCUACAACAUCAAGAUCGUCCACAGCGACGGCUUCAUGCGGGCCAUGUCACAGGUUAAGUGGUCCAUCCCCAACCCCUCUGGUUCAACUGCCGUCGAUCUCUUCGAUGGCCCUGCCGUUGAUCUCUUCGACGGCCCUGCUGUUGAUCUCCUCUGCCAAGCGGUCAAGGAUUUGCGAGCUUUAUACGCCAUCGAGCCCAUUUUGUCAUUUCUGAAGGUCACGUUCUACGGCGACGGCUUGGGAUCCUCAAUUGACAAGUUAGAUCUCAUCGACCACGACCACGAGGAGGACACCCACGAAGGUUCUUCCAAGGUGAAACAGCCCAUCUGUGACAUCAGAGAGCGCACCAUGGGUCUGUGCUCUUCCAACUGGAAGGAUCCUGUCCAUGAACUGUGA